RNAcentral lists this ribosomal RNA (301 nucleotides) under uncultured bacterium. RNAcentral describes it as "partial 16S ribosomal RNA". It matches the Rfam family "Bacterial small subunit ribosomal RNA", at positions 509 to 807 of the family's 1533-position model. The record is from RNAcentral.
CAGUAGCCGCGGUAAUACGUAGGGUGCAAGCGUUAAUCGGAAUUACUGGGCGUAAAGGGCACGCAGGCGGUUAUUUAAGUGAGGUGUGAAAGCCCCGGGCUUAACCUGGGAAUUGCAUUUCAGACUGGGUAACUAGAGUACUUUAGGGAGGGGUAGAAUUCCACGUGUAGCGGUGAAAUGCGUAGAGAUGUGGAGGAAUACCGAAGGCGAAGGCAGCCCCUUGGGAAUGUACUGACGCUCAUGUGCGAAAGCGUGGGGAGCAAACAGGAUUAGAUACCCCCGUAGUCCCUGUCUCUUAUAC